RNAcentral lists this ribosomal RNA (565 nucleotides) under uncultured bacterium. Its description in RNAcentral is "partial 16S ribosomal RNA". It matches the Rfam family "Bacterial small subunit ribosomal RNA", at positions 355 to 935 of the family's 1533-position model. The record is from RNAcentral.
UGGGGAAUAUUGCACAAUGGGCGAAAGCCUGAUGCAGCGACGCCGCGUGAGGGAUGACGGCCUUCGGGUUGUAAACCUCUUUCAGCAGGGAAGAAGCGAAAGUGACGGUACCUGCAGAAGAAGCGCCGGCUAAUUACGUGCCAGCAGCCGCGGUAAUACGUAGGGCGCAAGCGUUGUCCGGAAUUAUUGGGCGUAAAGAGCUCGUAGGCGGUUAGUCGCGUCUGCUGUGAAAACUCGAGGCUCAACCUCGGGCUUGCAGUGGGUACGGGCUGACUAGAGUGCGGUAGGGGUGACUGGAAUUCCUGGUGUAGCGGUGGAAUGCGCAGAUAUCAGGAGGAACACCGAUGGCGAAGGCAGGUCACUGGGCCGCAACUGACGCUGAGGAGCGAAAGCAUGGGGAGCGAACAGGAUUGAGAUACCCUGGUAGUCCAUGCCGUAAACGUUGGCACUAGGUGUGGGGUCCAUUCCACGGAUUCCGUGCCGCAGCAAACGCAUUAAGUGCCCCGCCUGGGGAGUACGGCCGCAAGGCUAAAACUUAAAUGAAUUGACGGGGUCAUAGCUGUUU